AUUGCUUCUCAGCCUUUUGGCUUAGAUCAAGUGUAGCAUCUGUUCUUAUCAGUUUAAAGCCUCAUAUUCCUCCAGAAAUUGCCAAAGAAGUUAUUUAUUCAUGGGAGGGGCAGGUGUUGUAUUAAACAAGUGGAACAAAA
Molecule: small nuclear RNA, 140 nt
Organism: Heterocephalus glaber (naked mole-rat)
Lineage: Eukaryota; Metazoa; Chordata; Mammalia; Rodentia; Bathyergidae
Gene: U2
Rfam family: U2 spliceosomal RNA
About the family: U2 is a small nuclear RNA (snRNA) component of the spliceosome (involved in pre-mRNA splicing).
Source: Ensembl